AAACACGGGGCAUUUGUGCAGACGGCCAUAUGUCCACAGAAUGUCUGGAACCCUUCCCCCAACCCUGUUCCCCUGGAGAAUGUCUCUACUGGAAACACACUGCCAGGGUUUCCUUAAAUGGCAGCUGCUCCUGGAACAAAGGAAGAAAUUCACAGCAUAGAGGGGAGAACUUAAGCUAUCUUUCCAGGAGUAAACUCUUGAAGGAAUGCCUGAAUGCAUAUGGGAAAUGAAAACACCUCUAAGAAAAAGGCAAGAAUAGCACCGUCCAGGCUAUCUACAUGGAAGUUAAAGACUCUACAUCUCUUUCAGAAUAAAGUAGGGAAACAACUUGGGUGUUCCAUCUCCAUGAAUCAAUAAAACUAACUCUAGUAUCCAAAGGUGCAUCUGAUCUCUGAGCACACUAAUGUAUGGUCAGAGUACACCAUCCUCCCUGACUUCACCUGUAUUGGCAGGAACAUACACCUGUACCAGGAGAUUUAACAGAGACUGGAGGUGCUGUCCCAGUGCUGGGAGUCCAUGAAAGACCUCAGGCACCUGUACUGGAGUGUGAAAGACUCUUAACAGUUUCUCUGGGAGGCGACCUAGCAAUUGCCCCUGCUAAGAUGAGCUGGAUUGGGUGCACUCCAGGCUGUGACUACUGAACCUGAAUUCAUAACCCACUCCUUGACCCUGCUGGCCUCUUUGCACAGCAGGAUCCUGAUGAGGGGCAGGGCAAGGAAGCAGGAGGGUCCUGGGAGGAAGUCCCGGAGGAAGCACCUGGAGACCCGGAAGAAGAGGAGCAUGUUACUCUGCAUCUCUCUCUGGCAGACCUCGUUGAGGUUGCCCCCUCUGAGGAGCCUGAGGAGGAGCCCGAGCUGCAGCAGGAACCAGAAU
Molecule: long non-coding RNA, 873 nt
Organism: Trachemys scripta elegans
Lineage: Eukaryota; Metazoa; Chordata; Testudines; Emydidae
Exons: 3
Source: RefSeq, a predicted model, not a curated record